This 1590-nucleotide unclassified non-coding RNA is filed under the name Portunus trituberculatus (swimming crab). RNAcentral's name for it is "ras-related protein Rab-34-like, transcript variant X2". The record is from RNAcentral. Lineage: Eukaryota; Metazoa; Arthropoda; Malacostraca; Decapoda; Portunidae.
UGACAAACACGUUACUGAACAGCAUAAUUAAUCCAAAUAUGGUAUAACAUUAGUUAAUUCAGGUCUCAGGUUUGAGACAAAAACAUAUUUCAAAUUAAUAUUUUGCAAAGACAGCUGGUGAGAACACUGUGGGAGUGGAGGGGGGGGGACACUUUCAGAGUUCCAGCAUAAUAUUGUAAACACAAGCCGCAACUCGCCACCCAGACCUGUCACUACCUGUCCAGUAUAUUCUCAUAAACACGGCAUGUUCUAACUCAGCUGGCUUGACUGAUGCGGCUUAGCAGAUCUGCUGUGUACACCAUGUUACAGACUCAGGCCCAGAAAGAUCGUGUCAUUGCUUCCCUUCCACCACCCUUCAUCAGACAGGCCAGUCCACACACCCAUGAUGACUUCCAUGUGGAGGUGAGGAAUGCAGCCAAUGGGGACCACAUGCUGCAAGCAGGCCUCAAGAUCUCCAAGAUGAUAGUGUUGGGAGAUGUAGCCACUGGCAAGACCUGCCUUGUUAACAGGUUCUGUCACCAAGUGUUUGAUGCCAACUACAAGGCAACCAUUGGUGUAGACUUUGAGGUGGAGAGAUUUGAUAUCCUGGGUAUCCCCUUCAAUUUACAAAUUUGGGACACAGCUGGGCAGGAGAGAUUUAAGUGCAUCGCUGCCUCAUACUAUCGAGGUGCCAGUGCGGUCAUGAUCGUAUUUGAUGUGACAAACAUCGUGACGCUAGCCCACACCUCCCAGUGGCUGGAGGAGGCACGGCAGGCCAAUGCAGACCGUCUCACCCCGGUGGUCUUCCUGGUGGGGACAAAGCGAGAUCUGAUGAGUGAGGGUGCCUAUGACCAGAUUGAGAAGGAGGCCAGGCGUGUGGCACAAGGUCUUGGAGCAGAGUAUUGGGCAGUGUCCUCCAAGACAGGAGACAAUGUGGAAGCUUUGUUCCUACGUGUAGCAUCACUCACUUUUGAUCAUUCAGUGAUGCAGGAGCUAAGCAGUGGCUCCUCUGAUCGACGUAAACAGUCCACUGUCAAGAUUGGGCACCGGCUGGAAGACACCUUUGAGGGACACAAGAAGAACAAAUGUGCAUCAUGUGGGAAGUAACAGCUGGGCCUUGAGUUGGUUAGGCCACAGGGCUUCAUCACAUACCUCAAGUCCAUUUCACACACUACAGUAUUGAAAGCACAACAGACUUUCUUCUCUUACCAAAGUCCAGCCAGGUGACCUGAUGUUGCUCAGCCUUGCAUCAGACAAUCUUCUCUUCAGAACACAGAACUUUUUUGUUUCUUAUAGUAGUGUUGGCGUCAUCACUUGCAUUGAAAUUCCAUACGUAUAUAUAUUGUUGUUAGACAUCUUGAAUUAUUAUGUUAUAUUGGUCCACUUGUGAGAAAAUGGUUCUGAACUAAAUUUUUUAUGAGCAUUUAGUUUUGCAGUGAAAGAAGUAAUCAUAUUUAUUUAUUUGUAUGAUAGUUGAUAUCAAAGGAUCAAGUAUACAUGUAUGUGGUUUGCCCUUAUGUCAGGAAUGCAUGUGUAUGCAUGAGUUAUAGGCCUGAUUUUGUUCUUCAGUCCUUCCAAGGCAACAAAAAUUUAUUUUACAUUAUCAUUGAA